UCUCUCUCUAAUAAUACAGUAGUAUCUGUCUAUGACAACAAUAAUGUCUGCAUCGCUAACAUGAAUUUUUUUUUUUCAGAUUCUUCCAAUUCCACCAUCAACGCACCGAAUAGACACCACAUCGACCUAUUCAUCUGGGACUUCUCUCUCUAAUAAUACAAUUCUUCCAAUUCCACCAUCAACGCACCGAAUAGACACCACAUCGACCUAUUCAUCUGGGACUUCUCUCUCUAAUAAUACAAUUCUUCCAAUUCCACCAUCAACGCACCGAAUAGACACCACAUCGACCUAU
Ctenocephalides felis (cat flea) is the source of this 292-nucleotide long non-coding RNA. RefSeq lists it as uncharacterized. The transcript is spliced from 3 exons. The record is from RefSeq and is a predicted model, not a curated record. Lineage: Eukaryota; Metazoa; Arthropoda; Insecta; Siphonaptera; Pulicidae.